Molecule: long non-coding RNA, 1775 nt
Organism: Malaclemys terrapin pileata
Lineage: Eukaryota; Metazoa; Chordata; Testudines; Emydidae
Exons: 6
Source: RefSeq, a predicted model, not a curated record
GGCACAACGAUAACCGCAGGGUUCUGUGAACUCUUUCACAGCAGCAUCUUGGGAACACAGACUGGCUUCAGAGGGAUCGUUUGUUCUUUUCCCAGCACCACCAACACGUUUUCUUCAAGGAAACAAGUUGCUAAUUCCUCUGCCAGGAACCUGAUCAUUCAUAAGUAAAGCCUCUGCUAAAUAUUAAAGGAUGUUCAAUGACUAUGCCGGUGGAAAAUACAUUUUCUGCUGGACAGAGGCGAGUUAGAUUUUUGACCAACGCUGAGCAAAUGGUGCUCCUCGCUGAGUCUGACAGCAAUGCAAAGGGACAGAAGAGGAGGAGAGAGGGAACGCACGCUUUGUCUCUGUAACAAGGACUGAGGACAAUCGUCAAAGCUUAAUCCUCCAAACCACAAAGCAAGGGCACGAAGCCACCAAGAACAAAAUACAAGGCACACAACGAUACGUCUCUUGAGCGACGGGGGUUGCCCCUGUAAAUAAUCCGGCCGGGUUCAAGCAGUAGCAAAAGAGGUUCAACUGUCUCUUAAUCAUAGACGUUAGAGGUGGGAAAGCCACAUUUACCAGUCCCCACACCAGGGCGGGUUUUGUUCCACGCCUACAUUUAGCAGCAAGUGGAAACACGGUCAUUUGAUCAUUUGUUUUAGUGCCUUUAUGUUGGCAAAGAAAAUUCAGUCCCUUUUGGAAACCAAUGCACCGGGGAUGGAAACGGUCCGAGGCCCCAGCAACCCUCCCGCGGCUGCCCUACAAAGGCUGAACUAAUCAUUAACUGCAGAGGCAAAGCGAGGUCUGUUCCCUCCGCCCGAGCCCAGGCAGCAGCCGCCAAGGGAGAGGAAAGAUCUUUCUCAAACUCUCUUGUGUGUCACACAUUGGAAUAUAAGAACGGCCAUACGGGGUCAGACCACAGGUCCCUCUAGCCCAGUAUCCUGUCUUCCGACAGUGGACAAUGCCAGGUGCCCCGGAGGGAAUGAACAGAACAGGAUGCUGAGAAAUUGGAGAGAGCGAAAAAAGAGCCACAAAAUGAUUUGAGGGCUGGAGAAAAUGUCUUUAAGUCUCUCACGCCCCUCGACCUCUGCAGGUUGCAGUACCUCCAUGGCAUGCGCACACUGCAGCAGAAGCCUGGGUCAAUGUACCUUCAUUGACCUUUCCAAGAGGAAGUGUUUCUGUGAAGAACUGAUCGUUGAAGCUCUGGAGAGGGCCAACAAGCAGGUUCAGUAUCAAAGACCGAGGGACUUACGGCAAGAGGAAAGGCUGAGGCUGGCUGCACAGCUUGAGGAAAAGGAUUUCAGCGAGGGAACAGGAUGACAGAGCUCAGCAGAAAGAACAGUUUGAGCAGCUGCUAUCUCUAAUGGCCACAAGAGGACCAGCUCCAGAUGCAUCUGCACCAUGGCCUGCCUGAGUCCCUCUGUGGUUCCUUGUGCUGCAGCCCAGAAAUAGUUGGACAACUUCAUGGCUGGGUGGCCCAUGCAAUCAGGCCCUAUGAGCAGCUGGGCAGGGCACCUGUGCCCUAUACAAUCUUCCAUAUUACCCCUUCCCGCAUGGAUGCCUCUAUCCCUUUCCUUGGUGCCAAGUGGAUGGCAAAUGUGGAAGGAAGGAAAAGGAGAAUGGGGGGCAGGGUGGGGACAUGCAACAAUUGGGGGGUUCUGUUUAGUACGUGGUUUCACUGUUUGCAUUUGUUCAUGCAUUUUUUAAAAGACUAUAUUGUUACUGGUGUUUUGGUGGGGUAAUGGCAGCUGGGCUGCCUGGCAAUGGGUUAAUGUUGUACUUUUCUAAUACAU